Molecule: transfer RNA, 98 nt
Filed under: Glycomyces algeriensis
Lineage: Bacteria; Bacillati; Actinomycetota; Actinomycetes; Glycomycetales; Glycomycetaceae
Description: tRNA-Arg
Source: RNAcentral
GCCGUCGGCGGGGCCGGCGGCGGGGAAGCCCUUGGGGCCUUCGACGCUCUGGGGUUCGUAGGAGAUGGCGCCGCAGUUCGACACCGCGCCGCUGGCGC